Molecule: ribosomal RNA, 477 nt
Filed under: uncultured bacterium
Lineage: Bacteria
Description: partial 16S ribosomal RNA
Rfam family: Bacterial small subunit ribosomal RNA
Source: RNAcentral
AUGAACGCUGGCGGCGUGCCUAACACAUGCAGGUCGCACGGAGUCCAGCCUUUAAGACCUUCGGGUCAAAGGGGGGAAGACUGAGUGGCGGACGGGUGAGUAACACGUGGGCAACCUGGCUCAUAGAGGGGGAUAACAGAGAGAAAUUUCUGCUAAUACCGCAUAAGCACACACUGCCGCAUGGCAGAGGGUGAAAAGAGAAUCGCUAUGAGAUGGACCCGCGUCUGAUUAGCCAGUUGGCAGGGUAAGAGCCUACCAAAGCGACGAUCAGUAGCCGAUCUGAGAGGAUGAACGGCCACAUUGGGACUGAGACACGGCCCAAACUCCUACGGGAGGCAGCAGUGGGGGAUAUUGCACAAUGGGGGGAACCCUGAUGCAGCGACGCCGCGUGAGUGAAGAAGUAUUUCGGUAUGUAAAGCUCUAUCAGCAGGGAAGAUAAUGACAGUACCUGAAGAAGAAGCCCCGGCUAACUACGUG